Molecule: non-coding RNA, 97 nt
Organism: Mucidula mucida
Lineage: Eukaryota; Fungi; Basidiomycota; Agaricomycetes; Agaricales; Physalacriaceae
Source: the annotation of a GenBank genome assembly
UCCCUCUUAGCUCAGUGGUAGAGCGCGUCACUAGUAUUGUGGUACAUGGAGUUCGUUUCCUAUGACGAGGUCAGUCGUUCAAGUCGGCUAGAGGGAA